This 63-nucleotide transfer RNA is filed under the name Phratora vulgatissima. Its description in RNAcentral is "tRNA-His". The record is from RNAcentral. Lineage: Eukaryota; Metazoa; Arthropoda; Insecta; Coleoptera; Chrysomelidae.
AUCUAAAUAGUUUAUAAAAAUAGUGAUUUGUGGAGUCAAAGAUAUACUUUGUUAUUUUAGAUA